Molecule: ribosomal RNA, 117 nt
Filed under: Paramormyrops kingsleyae
Lineage: Eukaryota; Metazoa; Chordata; Actinopteri; Osteoglossiformes; Mormyridae
Source: RNAcentral
AACAGCCACUGUACCAUCUGCAGUUCAUACCUGAUAAGCCAUCUGAAGCAAAGUGGGUUUGGGCCAGGAUAAUACAUGGAUGGGAGACCAACUAGGAAGGCUGGGUUGCUGCUGGAA